This 495-nucleotide ribosomal RNA is filed under the name uncultured bacterium. Its description in RNAcentral is "partial 16S ribosomal RNA". It matches the Rfam family "Bacterial small subunit ribosomal RNA", at positions 28 to 507 of the family's 1533-position model. The record is from RNAcentral.
GACGAACGCUGGCGGCGUGCCUAAUACAUGCAAGUCGAACGCUGAAGGAGGAGCUUGCUUCUCUGGAUGAGUUGCGAACGGGUGAGUAACGCGUAGGUAACCUGCCUGGUAGCGGGGGAUAACUAUUGGAAACGAUAGCUAAUACCGCAUAACAGUAGAUAUCGCAUGAUAUCUACUUGAAAGGUGCAAUUGCAUCACUACCAGAUGGACCUGCGUUGUAUUAGCUAGUUGGUGAGGUAACGGCUCACCAAGGCGACGAUACAUAGCCGACCUGAGAGGGUGAUCGGCCACACUGGGACUGAGACACGGCCCAGACUCCUACGGGAGGCAGCAGUAGGGAAUCUUCGGCAAUGGACGGAAGUCUGACCGAGCAACGCCGCGUGAGUGAAGAAGGUUUUCGGAUCGUAAAGCUCUGUUGUAAGAGAAGAACGAGUGUGAGAGUGGAAAGUUCACACUAUGACGGUAGCUUACCAGAAAGGGACGGCUAACUACGUG